CCGCCAGGCUUGUAGCUCAGUCACCACCGCACCGCGCCCAAGCAGCUGCCGCCACCGCCGCCAUGAGUUGUCCGGUCCAGCAUUUCUUGUAAUGCACAUCUGGUGUGAUGGUUCUUCUGCCAGCCUGCCGCCAUGGGAUUGCUCUGUAUAAGAAGACAGGUGCAUUCUGGAAACUUGAAUCACUAAGGGGAGGAGCUUCAAUUUUGAUCCCAGAUAUAAGAAUGUUCCUUACAGAAGAAGGAAUAUUUCCCAACUCAUUUAAUGAGGCCAACAUUAUUCUGAUACCAAAACUAUACAAAAGCAUUACAAGGAAAGAGAACUACAGACCAUUAUUCCUGAUGUACAGGGAUCUGUGGAACUUUGAACUUGAGAGUGAUGAUUUAUGGUAUCUGGUGGAAGAAAUUUCUAAGCAGCAAAGUGUUCAAGAAGUGACAUGGCUGCUUCUAACAGCCUACGCUUAUAUGUGUGAGCAAAAAAUCAACCUAAGUUGGAACUUAUGUUUAAAGGGGAAGUAAAGCAAAAGUUUGGAGAAUUUGCAGCCUGGUAAUGUGGUAAGAAAAGAAAAGCCCAUUUUCAGGGGAAGAAUUCAAGCAGGGCUUAGAAAUUUGUGUAAGUAAAAAAGAGCCAAUUGCUAAUUGCCAAGACAAUGGGGAAAAGGUCUGGAAGGCAUUUCAGAGACCUUUGCAGCAGCCCCUCCUAUCACAGACCCAGAGGCCUAGGAGGGGAGGAUGGUUUUGUGGUCCAGGCCCAUGACCCUGGUUACCCUGCAUGGCCUCAGGACACUGGUCCCUGCAUCGUAGCCACUCCAGCUUCAGCCAUAGCUCAAAGGGCCCAGGUAUGGUUUGGGCUGCUGCUUCAGGAGGUACAAACUGUAAGACUUGGGAACUUCCACAUGAUGUUAAACUUGUGAGGGCAAAACGUGCAAGAGUUGAGGCUUGGACACCUCUGCCUAGAUUUCAGAGGAUGUAUGGAAAAGCCUGAAUGUCCAGGCAGAAGCCUGUUGCAAGAGUGGAGCCCUCACAGAGAACCUCUACUAGGAUAGUGUGGAGGGUAAACGUGGGGUUGGAGCACCCCCCAACAGAGUCCCCACUGGGACACUGCCUACUGGAGCUGUGAGAAGAGUGCCAUCGUCCUCCAGACCCCAGAAUGGAGGAUCCACUGACAGCUUGCACCAUGCACCUGGAAAAGCUGCAGGCAUUCAGUGCCAUCCCAUGAAAGCAGCUGCAGGGGCUACACCCUAAAGAUCCACAGGUGCAGAGCUGCCCAAGGCCUUGGGAGAUCAUCCCUUGCAUAAGUAUGCCCUAGAUAUGGGACAUGGAGUGAAAGGAAAUUAUUUUGGAGCUUUAAGAUUUAAUGACUGCCCUGCUGGGUUUUGGACUUGCAUGGGACUUGUAGCCCCUUUCUUUUGGUUGAUUUCUCCCUUUUGGAAUGGGAGUACCUACCCAAUGCCUAUACCCCCAUUGUAUGUUUAAAGUAACUAACUUGUUUUUGAUUUUGUAGGCUCAUAUGUGGAAGAGAGUAGCCUUGUGUCAGAUGAGACUUUGGACUUUUGAGUUAAUGCAGAAAAGAGUUAAGACUUAGAGGGACUGUUGAGGAGGGAUGAUUGUAUUUUGCAAUGUGAGAAGAACAUGAGAUUUAGGGGGCCAGGAGUGGAAUAAUAUGGUUUGGAUCUGUGUCCCCAUCAAAUCUCAUGUCAAAUUCUAGUCCCCACUGUUGGAGGUGGGACCUUGGAGGUGGAUUUCUCAUGAGUGGUUUAGCACCAUCCACUUGGUGUUGUUCUUGUGAUAGUGAAGGAGUUCCCAUGAGAUCUGGUUGUUUAAAAGUGUGCAGCACCUUCCCCCUUGCUCUGUAUUCUUUCUGCUCUGGCCAUGUUAUGUGUUUGUUUCCCCUUUGCCUUCUGACAUGAUUGGAAGCUUCCUGAGGUCUCCCAAGAAGCAGAAGCCACUAUGCUUCCUGUACAGCCUGCAGAACCAUGAGCCAAUUAAACCUUCUUUCUUUAUAAGUUA
Molecule: long non-coding RNA, 2006 nt
Organism: Homo sapiens (human)
Lineage: Eukaryota; Metazoa; Chordata; Mammalia; Primates; Hominidae
Source: Ensembl